UCCUAUUCAGCCAAUCAAGUCAAGUUUAAGUCCUAUGUCAGACUUAUGGGCAACAAAGUGAUAUUAAUAUUAAAUACUUAUGAUUGAUAAAUACUUUUGACAAUAGGCCUCAGCUGCAUGAUGAGGCUACGCACACUUUCAUCCUACGGUCAAUAUCCAUUGUAUUCUACUAUAAAAGCUCAUACAAUGUAUCAAUGCAAAGAUAAUGCAAGUUUAGACUUUCAACCUACAACUUU
RNAcentral lists this long non-coding RNA (236 nucleotides) under Olea europaea (common olive). RNAcentral's name for it is "long non-coding RNA (OEUR_LNC005904)". The record is from RNAcentral. Lineage: Eukaryota; Viridiplantae; Streptophyta; Magnoliopsida; Lamiales; Oleaceae.